RNAcentral lists this ribosomal RNA (465 nucleotides) under uncultured bacterium. Its description in RNAcentral is "partial 16S ribosomal RNA". It matches the Rfam family "Bacterial small subunit ribosomal RNA", at positions 338 to 795 of the family's 1533-position model. The record is from RNAcentral.
CCUACGGGGGGCAGCAGUGGGGAAUAUUGCGCAAUGGGCGAAAGCCUGACGCAGCGACGCCGCGUGAGGGAUGAAGGUCUUCGGAUCGUAAACCUCUGUCAGCAGGGAAGAACGGUCACUGUGCCAAUCAGCAGUGAAUUGACGGUACCUGCAAAGGAAGCACCGGCUAACUCCGUGCCAGCAGCCGCGGUAAUACGGAGGGUGCGAGCGUUAAUCGGAAUUACUGGGCGUAAAGCGCUCGUAGGCGGUAUGUCAAGUCAAGGGUGAAAUCCCCGCGCUCAACGUGGGAACUGCCUUUGAAACGGGCAAACUGGAGUGUGUGAGAGGAUAGUGGAAUUCCAGGUGUAGGAGUGAAAUCCGUAGAUAUCUGGAGGAACAUCAGUGGCGAAGGCGACUAUCUGGAACAUAACUGACGCUGAGGAGCGAAAGCGUGGGUAGCAAACAGGAUUAGAUACCCUAGUAGUC